RNAcentral lists this ribosomal RNA (423 nucleotides) under uncultured bacterium. RNAcentral's name for it is "bacterial SSU rRNA". It matches the Rfam family "Bacterial small subunit ribosomal RNA", at positions 30 to 454 of the family's 1533-position model. The record is from RNAcentral.
AUUGAACGCUGGCGGUAGGCCUAACACAUGCAAGUCGAACGGUAACAGGUCUUCGGAUGCUGACGAGUGGCGAACGGGUGAGUAAUACAUCGGAACGUGCCCAGACGUGGGGGAUAACGAGGCGAAAGCUUUGCUAAUACCGCAUACGAUCUAAGGAUGAAAGCGGGGGAUCUUCGGACCUCGCGCGUUUGGAGCGGCCGAUGGCAGAUUAGGUAGUUGGUGGGAUAAAAGCUUACCAAGCCGACGAUCUGUAGCUGGUCUGAGAGGACGACCAGCCACACUGGGACUGAGACACGGCCCAGACUCCUACGGGAGGCAGCAGUGGGGAAUUUUGGACAAUGGGCGCAAGCCUGAUCCAGCAAUGCCGCGUGCAGGAUGGAAGGCCUUGGGUUGUUAAACUGUCUUUAGUACGGAACGAAAGGU